GACGAACGCUGGCGGCGUGCUUAACACAUGCAAGUCGAAUGGAAAGGCCCUGCUUUUGUGGGGUGCUCGAGUGGCGAACGGGUGAGUAACACGUGAGUAACCUGCCCUUGACUUUGGGAUAACUUCAGGAAACUGGGGCUAAUACCGGAUAGGAGCUCCUGCUGCAUGGUGGGGGUUGGAAAGUUUCGGCGGUUGGGGAUGGACUCGCGGCUUAUCAGCUUGUUGGUGGGGUAGUGGCUUACCAAGGCUUUGACGGGUAGCCGGCCUGAGAGGGUGACCGGCCACAUUGGGACUGAGAUACGACCCAGACUCCUACGGGAGGCAGCAGUGGGGAAUAUUGCACAAUGGGCGGAAGCCUGAUGCAGCAACGCCGCGUGCGGGAUGACGGCCUUCGGGUUGUAAACCGCUUUCGCCUGUGACGAAGCGUGAGUGACGGUAAUGGGUAAAGAAGCACCGGCUAACUACGUG
RNAcentral lists this ribosomal RNA (468 nucleotides) under uncultured bacterium. Its description in RNAcentral is "partial 16S ribosomal RNA". It matches the Rfam family "Bacterial small subunit ribosomal RNA", at positions 28 to 507 of the family's 1533-position model. The record is from RNAcentral.